UGUAUAAUUUCAGUAGUUCCACAGAUGGAC
Molecule: non-coding RNA, 30 nt
Filed under: Mus musculus (house mouse)
Lineage: Eukaryota; Metazoa; Chordata; Mammalia; Rodentia; Muridae
Source: RNAcentral